AGCAUCCUCAUCAUCAUCGUGCUGGACAGAACAGAACUGCAUCAGACAUUUGCACCUCCUGUCAGGGCUGAGGGAUCAAGAAACAGAUAGAAGACACUCCUCUCCUGUGGGUCCUUCACGUCAAAGCUGAGACUCAAACAUCCACAGAAAGCUGAGUCAGUUUUUACAAACAUCUGGCUUUAAAACUGCUCUGGACAGGAGAUGGUUGUGUUUCCUGCAGCACUUCUGAAGACAAACACCUUCUUCUUCAUGCCUGCAUGUCUUCCUCUGUGCCUCCACAAGAAGACUGUGUGUGACCUGUGGACUGGAUGAGCACAGAUCAGUCCAGCUGCAGCAGAGAAACAUCACUGUCUGUUUUCAGUCAAUCUGUCUCCUGUGUGCAUCAUCAGGUCUUCUUAACACAACUCAAAGGCCUGUGCUCAACAUUCAUGAGUCCAGCAUGAUUGAGGAAACAGCAGCUCCUGGUGAUCACACUUCACAUUUAAAGUCAGACUGCAGAU
This is a long non-coding RNA of Austrofundulus limnaeus, 500 nucleotides long. RefSeq lists it as uncharacterized. The record is from RefSeq and is a predicted model, not a curated record. The transcript is spliced from 4 exons. Lineage: Eukaryota; Metazoa; Chordata; Actinopteri; Cyprinodontiformes; Rivulidae.